RNAcentral lists this long non-coding RNA (967 nucleotides) under Nicotiana benthamiana. RNAcentral describes it as "long non-coding RNA (NBEN_LNC032322)". Lineage: Eukaryota; Viridiplantae; Streptophyta; Magnoliopsida; Solanales; Solanaceae. The record is from RNAcentral.
UCGAAUCUCCAGUAUAUUAUGCUGAAACUUUCCGUGUGUUAGAGUUCCAACAUAAUAUGCUGAAAAUUCAUACACAGGUGCACCAAACUCCAGUAUAUUAUGCUGGACCGGUCUCUGUUGCAACAAAAUAAUAGUUAUUUUUCAAUGACCUGGCAAACACUGGCUAUUUUUGAAUGACCAGUCCGAAAACUGGCCAGUCCUGCUAUUUUUACAUUUUUUUCUUCCAAGGUUGUUCUGGAUUUGGUCUUGUUAUCUUGCAGACAAGAAACAAUCAGGAAAUAAUGAUAUCUUUCUAAUAAAUAGCUUAUAUAAUGAUAUAUGAGUAUUUUCUAAGUAAAAAGAAAUAGUACAGCCUCAACAAACCUAGUUUGACAACAGAUAAGAAAUUCAAAUUUCCAAAACCAACUUUGUAGCUCAGCUUGUCACCCUUCUGCAGCAAUUGUAUGACAAAUUUAUCACCAACAGCAAUGAACAGAGCAUAGGCACUGCCACAUGCAUGACAUCAUCAUCUUUUGGGAGAGGAUAGCGAGAAAAUAUCGCGCAGCUUUUUCUUGAAAAACAGUGGUAAAGCUGAACCGAGAAUUGGCAAUGUGGUUAUGAUUGCAGCAUAUGCAAGUACCCACAUUGAAAUCUUGCUAUGGCGAGAAAGCUGAUUAAGACAUCUUUUAACAGGAACCAUCAUUGCAUCAAAAUCUGCUUUCGGAGCAGGAUCGAGCUGAGUUGUUGCAUUUGUUUCUUCUUGCUGCACCGUAGCAUUGACACCUCUAACACUAUCUCCAGCAUUAUCAUCUUCAGCCAAUUGCUCAUUCUGCUGAUUUCAGAUUGCAGCAUAUGCAAGUACCCACAUUGAAAUCUUGCUACGCCGAGAGAGCUGAUUAAGACAUCUCUUAACAGGAACCAUCAUUGCAUCAAAAUCUGCUUUCGGAGCAGGAUCAAGCUGAGUUGUUGCAUUUGUUUCUUCUUCAUG